AGGCAGUUCCCUCUCCACCCGCAAUUGUACCAAUCCAUGCAAAAAUGCUCUCGCCUUCAGGAAAAGCUGACACUCCAAGAUCUCCUCCAAUCAUCUGCAGAAACAAUGUAAGAUAAGUCCAGGCCAUCAUCAACUGACACGAUUCCUCAGGAAGCAAACAGAAAACUCAAGAAAGCGAGACCUCUGAGAAACGGAGGUGGUCUCAACUGUGUUAGGAGGAACAACAGGUUGCUUCGAAGGAGUUGCUGGUACAUGUCGCCGAUACUGCGUCGAGUUAUCGACCGUCUCAUUUGGCCUAACCUCCAUGAUGUAUUCUUACAAUAAAAAGAAAAAUCAACCAAGUAGAUUCUUGCAAUGAUCAAAAUCAAGGGUUGCUAUGCAAUCAACAAAUUAAUCAAGUUCAGGUUUUUAACUUUCGAUUC
Populus trichocarpa (black cottonwood) is the source of this 422-nucleotide long non-coding RNA. RefSeq lists it as uncharacterized. The record is from RefSeq and is a predicted model, not a curated record. The transcript has 2 exons. Lineage: Eukaryota; Viridiplantae; Streptophyta; Magnoliopsida; Malpighiales; Salicaceae.